GCAAACUUGGUCAUUUAGAGGAAGUAAAAGUCGUAACAAGGUAACCGUAGGUGAACCUGCGGUUGGAUCAUUACUGAAAUGGAAAAUGACCCUGCUCGGGUCAGAUGUCCGUAAAACGACAUCACCCACACCCUUGUGAACAGUAACCGUCUCUUGGCGACGAUCACCCACCUCGUGACUCAUUUUUCGCGUUGUGGGUCCCGCCACACUCUCAGUCUUCCCGCCCAGUUCCGGUCGUUUGAUCUGACCGGGUGGGUUGACCCGAUGAGUUUGGUGUGGGGGGACGAGAGGAGGAUGAAAACGUCCUCUCUCUCGUCGUCGUCGUCGCCAGCAUAAUGCCACACCCUUGUGUGUUUUUUAUUGACAAAGUCUGACCAUUGAGAACCAUAAAAAAUAAUUGAGAAACAACUUUAGACAACGGAUCUCUUGGCUCUCGCAUCGAUGAAGAACGCAGC
RNAcentral lists this unclassified non-coding RNA (455 nucleotides) under uncultured fungus. Its description in RNAcentral is "partial contains small subunit ribosomal RNA, internal transcribed spacer 1, and 5.8S ribosomal RNA". The stretch from base 1 to 73 matches the Rfam family "Eukaryotic small subunit ribosomal RNA", at positions 1759 to 1831 of the family's 1831-position model. Lineage: Eukaryota; Fungi. The record is from RNAcentral.